AGGGAUGACAAUCAUGAGACAGACAAGGAUCGGCUCGAGGGAUGCCUUUCAGAAUACAGUGCAACCACGGAAAACGUGCAAUUCUGGAGCGUCCCAGAUGUCAAGGAUCUCUCUGAGACAUUGGAGGAAAACGACAGAGGAAUGCUGACAGAGCUGCUGAGGUGUCUUGACCAGGAUGAAAACUUUGAUCAUUGUGAGGUAGAGGAACAGACCCUUACUGGACAAAUGGAUGACCAAGGGUGCAUGGACUACCCUAUGGAGGACCUUGGUGAAGCAGUGGAGAAAAGAGGACAUUCCCUCUAUCAAAGUGAAGACAUCCAAGAACUUAUGAGUCAGGUAGGAGUUGAUUGAACAGUUUUUUAUUUGGAUGUGGUCUUCUGUAGUUGGUAGAGCAUGGUUCUUGCAACGCCAGGAUAGUGGGUUUGAUUCCCAGGACCACCCGUAAGUAAAAAAUGCACGCUUGACUGUAAGUCCGUUUGGAGAAAAGUGGCAAAUGGCAUAUAUUAUUGUUUUCUGUUGCUUUGAACAAAAAAACAGCACAAAUUAGCACCCUGUGCUUGUAGAGUUUUGCAAACUGAAAAAUAGCAACAGAAACAUAGCCUGAUUUUACUAGCAUUGACUGGUUGAAGUAGUGUAACCAAUCAAUGCUCGUAAAAUCAGGCUGUUUCUGUUACUAUUGUUCAGUUUGCAAAAAUAAAAUCUGAUGCCCCCUCUCUUCUCUCCUUUCCUCUCCUCUCUUCUACUAGCACUCAACACUGACGCUGCGCAUCAACCAGCUCUUGUCCAGGUGUGCAGAGUUCAGCAUGGACAUUCUGGACACUGAGACGGACAUGGCAGUCAGAUGUGAGCCCUAUAGUUCUGAACUCGAGGGACUGCAGGAGCAACAGGAUGAGCUAGAGAGGGACUAUCAGGUCAUAAAAGAGGAGGUGGAAGAGAUGGAGGGACUGGCUUUGCGACUACAGGUCCUCCUACCUGAAAUGCCAGGGGCUUUGGGGGAGGACAUCCAUGCGACCCAGCACGCUUGGGAGGAGUUGGGCUUGAGCAUGGCAGAGAACCAAUGCAACCUCCAACAAUUUCAGCAACUGCAAGACUUUCUUAGGGCCUACCUGGCCAUGAUCUCAUGGACAGAGGACACACAGACUUGCAUUUUCUCAGAGGCUUCAGUCCAGCAGUGGAGCUUGGCAGAAUUGAGUGUUCCAUCUGAGCUGGAUCUGAGGAUAGAGCAGAAGUUUGACGAGUUUGACAAGCUCGCUGCUGCUGGGCAGAAGAUUAUCAAGGAGCGACAUCACUUGGCAGAUAUUAUAAAGGAGAGGACUGAGGAACUACAAAGCAUUCUGGGAUGGAUCCUGGUAUACUGGAGGGCACAGAAAGACCAGCUGGGUCAGGAGAGGCCAAGCGAUUCAAGAAGAAGUGAUGCCCCUCAAGGAGACGCAACCAGAUUUUCACAAGGUCAACCCCAGAAUCUAUCCUCUCUGGCAGAACACAAGUCCUCUGAAAGCCUGUCCACAAAGCACAGGCUCAUGGUGGCGAGCCAGUUUGAAGGACCACAAAAAUCCCAACCAGGGAUAGGUCACCAUGAAGAAAACUUUGCCAAUCCAGUAAACGUAACACGACACGUCCCCUUGGCUGUGGUAGUAAACUCGCCCAGCAUUAUCCUUGAAGAGCCCUGUGCUACUGUCACCCCACUGGGCAGCAGCAUCAACCUCAUCCUCAGUUUUGACCAACAGCCACCAGGGGGCGAUCUGCAACAGGGGCCAGUGGAGCCAAAGCAGGCAGGGGAACCUGUGCAUAGGGUGAGCACCUAUCUGCAAGUCACAGAUGGAAGUCCUGUUUUUGAAGACGUGGCAUCGUCUCAUGUUACUGACACGAGCCACGUGUCAACCACCUUUUCCACAAGCUCAAUCAACGCUACUUUCAUUCCCCAAGUCAGGACUGUCUUGCUCCCCACCUUACCCAGAACCAGUUCCACCUCUACCUUAAACCUGAAGGGACCGAUGAAGAGGAAGAAAAUGACACACAGACACACUGUGACUGGAAUUGUCGCAAUGCCCAAGCCAGAGGGGGUUACUACCGCGCCCACCAAUGUCAAACACAGGGCUUACACCUGGCCACUGGAGGAUAAGAAGGAAUGUCAUGCCACACAAGGGAGUCCAGGUAAUACAGAACUCCAACUGUAUAUCAAAAAUAAUUCUGUGGUGAGUGUCAUGGAUGGCAACUCUUCAGGCACGUCAAGCAUUCCUACCAUCCAGGGGCAUUUCUUGCAUGGGCCCAAUGAGAUGACCAUUAGGCAAGACAAGAGCCACUAUGGCAUUAUCCAUCUUGGGUCGAUGUUGAGUUUUGACCUGACUACGGAUUGGGGGAAAAUCUCACAGAUAAAUGCAAAAGACCUCACAACUGAGAAAGUGCCUUUUGAAGCCAAUGGAGACCAUGCCAGUCCACCUUUGAAUCUGUACAGACCAUCAGGCUCAAACACACUCGGUCAGACUCAAGUAUCGUCCAAAGUAAUUGGACAGACUUUUGCCCUCAGUCCAGAAAAGGAAAGGCAUCUUGAAGCUGAUGGGGACUGUAGACCGUCAGGCUCAAAUACACUCAGUCUAACUCAGAAAGUGAUUGGGCAGAAUUUCACCCUCAGUCCAGGGGAGGAAAGUAUCUGCGAAACAGUGGACUUUGCUGUUCAAAAUUGUUCACCUUUGAAUCUAUACAAAUUGGCAGACUCAAAUACACUCAGUCAGACUCACAAAGUGAUUGGACAUACUUUUGCCCUCAGUCCAAAAGAAGAAAAGAGCUGUGAAGUAGCUAGGCAGGACUCGCAGAAGGUCAGCUCAGAGUCUGUUUCUCUUUUGGUUCAGUGUCUCUCUCUACCUGAGAAAGACAACGUCUAUCACGACCUAAGAAGCACCACAAGGAGUCCUGCCCUUGCUGCUGGACAUGAGAACAUUUUCUCCAGCACUGUUGGCAUCCACCAUGAGGAUACGGUCGAGAUUUCCAUUCCAGUGGCUAUUUUGGACUCUAACAAGCAACGCACUGAAUCAAACUGCAGCAGCUCGAUGAUGCAUGACCACGCCCGCACUGAACCAUCACAGAACCACAACUGUUUAAGUGUUCACACUAAGAUUCAAGACCUCAAUAACCACAUAUACUUCCCUUCUGCAAAGAGGCAAUUCGCUUUCCAAAGUGACCUUCGAGUUGUAGAGAUCAAGGGCUUGUCUACUGGGUCUGAAGACUCCACAUGGAUGGGUGUGCGCAGUUCUGGACGAGUCAUUGUGUGCUCUGAGGACAACUGUUGCAUAUGCUCCGACAGUCCGGCACCUAUGAUGGUAUUGGAAAAAGAAACUUCACCCAAAAGAGAACCAGAUCAUAUUCAUCCUGAUCAUUGGCAGUUUGAGGAGGAGGAAGAGGAGCUGGAGGAUAUUUGGAAUUGCACAGCCCGGGAAAGAGCACCUUGAAUUACUGUGGUCCAAAAAUCUGAGGUGAUGCCCUUGCCACACAGACCAGUGACCAACCAGCCAGAGAUUAAAGUGGCCCUAAACGUAAAGCGUCUCAGAAUAGGAGUGCUGAUCUAGGAUUAGUUUGCCUUUUAGAACAAAAUUAAUAAGAUUAUAUGGACAGAUCCUAGAUCAGCACUCCUACUCUGAGAUGCUUUGUGGGAUACGGACACAGAUCUAGGAUCAGCUUAUUCUCCCCCUUUUCCAACUUUGACUCCAGAUGGACUUUUACUUCACAUUUCCGCAGUGACAGAGGAUCAUCGUGUACAAGCAGCAGAGGUGGAAAAAGUACUCAAUUGUCACACCUUAAUAGAAAAUGACUCAAGUAAAAGUGAAAGUCACCCAGUAACAUAUUACUUGAGUAAAAGUCCAAAAGUAUUUGGUUUAAAAUAUACUUAAAUGUCAAAAGUAAAAGUAGAAACCAUUUCAAAUUCCUAAUAAUAAGCAAACCAGGUGAAUGAGCCAAUUGGAAGCUGGGGAUGAUUAGGUGGCCAUGAUGGUAUGAGGGCCAGAUUGGGAAUUUAGCCAGGGCAUCAAGGUUAACACCCCUACUCUUAUGAUACGUGCCAUGGUAUGUUUAGUGACCACAGAGUCAGGACACCCGAUUAACUUCACAUACCAAAGACAGAUUUCCACUCAAUAAUUGAUGGAUGUCAAUGGCCAAUGGAGGGCCGAAACACUAUAGUCUUUUUUGUGACUCUUUCCAUUGGUUACUGGCUGUUAACACAACUUGAGUGUAUAUGAUACAACAUAAAACAAUAUAACAUUACUGUAUUGAAGAAAUCAGACAUGUAGAGUCACAAAUAGUGCAAUACACUGAACUGAAUGGACUUACCCCAUUGAAUACCAUACAAGAUGAUCAAAAUGUAUUUGCUCUGUCUUUAAUGCCACUUGGUGUCUUAUUUCUUUCAACCGUGUAUGAAUUGCAUGCAGGGCACAUAAACUGCUAUUUUAAUCUGCUGUACAGUAGACUAUCACUUAUCAUUUUAAUCACUUUUGUAAAAAAGAAAAGAAAAAUAGAAAUAAAGCAAAGAAUUUGCAGCUUCUUCAUAUUGAAUUGAAGUAGUUUGUCAUUAGUUGUAAUAAAGAUACCUUUUUCAGGUUAUCAUGAAGUUCUAGGAGUAGAUGUUUUAGAUGGUCAGGCUCAGAUAUAUUCACUUUAUUACUAUUACAAAAAGCAAGACAACUUGUAGUCCAAUUCGUGGCUCUGCAAACUUCCAGUUGGGGCCAGUAAUGGACCAUUUAAGAGCCUUCAUUUAUAUAGGCUACUUUAUCUGGACACAAUCUAGGCCAUUACGUAAUUCAUUGUCGAGCAGCACUGGAAAGAUAGUGUCACUACUAUUAUUUAUACUCAUUUUUCAUUAUUGUAUGCUCAUUCUUUCUGCAUUAUUUGUGAAUAUGUUUCAGUAAUUACAAGUGAUGAUUGACAUCUCAGAGAACAAACGAGCCAACACGUCACGGUAGGUCAGCCUAUCCCUAAACAAAUGACCGCAUGGGGGAGGCGGGACUUCUUCCGAUUCUGCCAGCGCGACUCAACAGAAACUAGUUGUAUUAGACACACAGCUAGGCCUAUUGAUACAGUUCAUGAAUUGUAGGGACGGGGCUUUGUCUAGUUACAAUUGCAUAAAGUCACUGAUAAAGACAGUUUAUUAUUCAACUAGGAUGUUAAGCCUGCAAGUUAAUCGUUUUGGAUAAAAUGGGAUUGGAUAUCUAGAUCUCGUCGGAG
Molecule: long non-coding RNA, 5211 nt
Filed under: Oncorhynchus mykiss (rainbow trout)
Lineage: Eukaryota; Metazoa; Chordata; Actinopteri; Salmoniformes; Salmonidae
Description: lncRNA (ENSOMYG00000030431.2)
Source: RNAcentral